RNAcentral lists this non-coding RNA (27 nucleotides) under Homo sapiens (human). Lineage: Eukaryota; Metazoa; Chordata; Mammalia; Primates; Hominidae. The record is from RNAcentral.
GAUUAAAUGAUGAAGGGCCAUUUCUGA